UACGGGGGGAGCAAGCGUUGUUCGGAUUUACUGGGCGUAAAGGGCGCGUAGGCGGCGUGACAAGUCACUUGUGAAAUCUCCGGGCUUAACUCGGAACGGUCAAGUGAUACUGUCGUGCUAGAGUACAGAAGGGGCAACUGGAAUUCUCGGUGUAGCGGUGAAAUGCGCAGAUAUCAGGAAGAACACCGGUGGCGAAGGCGGGUCUCUGGGCCGAUACUGACGCUGAGGAGCGAAAGCGUGGGGAGCGAACAGG
This 253-nucleotide ribosomal RNA is filed under the name uncultured bacterium. Its description in RNAcentral is "partial 16S ribosomal RNA". It matches the Rfam family "Bacterial small subunit ribosomal RNA", at positions 524 to 776 of the family's 1533-position model. The record is from RNAcentral.